Molecule: ribosomal RNA, 440 nt
Filed under: uncultured bacterium
Lineage: Bacteria
Description: bacterial SSU rRNA
Rfam family: Bacterial small subunit ribosomal RNA
Source: RNAcentral
CCUACGGGUGGCAGCAGUGGGGAAUUUUGCGCAAUGGGGGCAACCCUGACGCAGCAACGCCGCGUGCGGGACGAAGGCGUCCGCGUCGUAAACCGCUUUCAGCGGGGAACACUUAAACGAGGGUACCCGCAGAAGAAGCCCCGGCUAAAUACGUGCCAGCAGCCGCGGUAAUACGUAUGGGGCGAGCGUUAUCCGGAUUCAUUGGGCGUAAAGCGCGCGUAGGCGGAGCGCUAAGCGGGACCUCUAACCCGAGGGCUCAACCCCCGGCCGGGUCCCGAACUGGCGCUCUCGAGUGCGGUAGGGGAGAGCGGAAUUCCCGGUGUAGCGGUGGAAUGCGCAGAUAUCGGGAAGAACACCGACGGCGAAGGCAGCUCUCUGGGCCGAAACUGACGCUGAGGCGCGAAAGCUGGGGGAGCGAACAGGAUUAGAUACCCUAGUAG